AUACGUAGGUGACAAGCGUUAUCCGGAUUUACUGGGCGUAAAGGGCGUGUAGGCGGUCUUGCAAGUCAGAAGUGAAAUUCCUGAGCUCAACUCGGGCGCUGCUUCUGAAACUGCAGGACUUGAGUGCUGGAGGGGAUAGCGGAAUUCCUAGUGGAGCGGUAAAAUGCGCAGAUAUUAGGAAGAACACCGGUGGCGAAGGCGGAUAGCUGGACAGUAACUGACGCUGAGGCGCGAAAGCGUGGGGAGCAAACAGGAUUAGAUCCCCGGGUAGUCCACGCCGUAAACGAUGAAUACUAGGUGUAGGGGGUAUCGACUCCCUCUGUGCCGCAGUUAACACAAUAAGUAUUCCACCUGGGGAGUGCGAUCGCAAGAUUGAAACUCAAAGGAAUUGGCGGGG
This 397-nucleotide ribosomal RNA is filed under the name uncultured bacterium. RNAcentral's name for it is "partial 16S ribosomal RNA". It matches the Rfam family "Bacterial small subunit ribosomal RNA", at positions 523 to 918 of the family's 1533-position model. The record is from RNAcentral.